RNAcentral lists this long non-coding RNA (576 nucleotides) under Brassica napus (rape). Its description in RNAcentral is "long non-coding RNA (BNAP_LNC011151)". Lineage: Eukaryota; Viridiplantae; Streptophyta; Magnoliopsida; Brassicales; Brassicaceae. The record is from RNAcentral.
UCAAUAAGCUAUGUCAUGUGUGUUUUCUUAGGUGCUUUGUAACUGGUGGGGCUGGAUGGUGUUGAUGAGCCACCUACAUUUAGAUCAUCAUAUGAUUCUUUAGUUUCUUGCUUAAAUCAUAAAAAAAUAGGUUUGUUAUUUGGCAUAUGUGUAAAUAUAUUUCAUCUUACAACAAGAUCUUAGAUCUCAUAAGAAAAAUACAUCUUUUAUCCUAAUUUUCUUUUUUUCUAUUAUUUUGUGAUAUGUGUGAAUGUUUACUUUAAGGUCUAUUAUUAUUGUUUGAAAUUUAGUAUUUUUUGUUAAAGGUUAUUAACUCUUAUUGUCGAUAUUUUUGUUUUUUUUUUAAGUUGGGUUUGAUCUAAACUGUUAAAUCUUACUAUUGAUUGUGAUGGAUAUAAUCAGUAUAGUUAUUGAACUAAUAAAAGUGUUUAUUUUAUGGCACCUUUUUAGUUUCUCUUAUUAUUUAUGAAGAAUUUGAAAUAUAUUUAUAUCGAAAGUUACAAGAACUCAAAACAUAGCGGGAGGCAAAUAAAAAGUGAAACGAUGGUAAAGCAUUAUUCUAGAAACUGUCGUUGU